GACGAACGCUGGCGGCGUGCUUAACACAUGCAAGUCGAACGGAAAGGCCCUGCUUUUGUGGGGUGCUCGAGUGGCGAACGGGUGAGUAACACGUGAGUAACCUGCCCUUGACUUUGGGAUAACUUCAGGAAACUGGGGCUAAUACCGGAUAGGAGCUCCUGCUGCAUGGUGGGGGUUGGAAAGUUUCGGCGGUUGGGGAUGGACUCGCGGCUUAUCAGCUUGUUGGUGGGGUAGUGGCUUACCAAGGCUUUGACGGGUAGCCGGCCUGAGAGGGUGACCGGCCACAUUGGGACUGGGAUACGGCACAGACUCAUACGGGAGGCAGCAGUGGGGAAUAUUGCACAAUGGGCGGAAGCCUGAUGCAGCAACGCCGCGUGCGGGAUGACGGCCUUCGGGUUGUAAACCGAUUUCGCCUGUGACGAAGAGUGAGUGACGGUAAUGGGUAAAGAAGCACCGGCUAACUACGUG
RNAcentral lists this ribosomal RNA (468 nucleotides) under uncultured bacterium. Its description in RNAcentral is "partial 16S ribosomal RNA". It matches the Rfam family "Bacterial small subunit ribosomal RNA", at positions 28 to 507 of the family's 1533-position model. The record is from RNAcentral.